GCCGGGCGCGGUGGCUCACGCCUGUAAUCCCAGCACUUUGGGAGGCCGAGGCGGGUGGAUCACGAGGUCAGGAGAUCGAGACCAUCCUGGCUAACACGGUGAAACCCUGUCUCUACUAAAAAUACAAAAAAAUUAGCCAGGCGUGGUGGCGGGCACCUGUAGUUCCAGCUACUUGGGAGGCUGAGGCAGGAGAAUGGCGUGAACCCAGGAGGCGGAGCCUGCAGUGAGCCGAGAUCGUGCCACUGCACUCCAGCCUGGGCGUCAGAGUGAGACUCCAUCUCAAAAAAAAAAAAAAAAAAAGAAAAAGAAAAGGAAGAGAAGAAGAAGAUAAAUCACUAUCUCUUUCUACUGUGCUUACCCUAAUGGAUUUUUUAUAUAGUCUCACUUUCUAAUUCAUAAUCUGAUCUCUAGUUUCAUCAGAGCACCUUAGUUUUUAAGUAAAGGCUCUUCUUCUAUUAACCACUUCUAAAAUGACAAAUCGGGCUUAUUCUAUGCAGUUCAAAAAACAGAACAAGGCUAAGAGGUGAAGUUAUAGAAAAGACAUUUUCACUCACAGAAGGAAAAAUUUGGACACAGCCAGAGUAGUUAAAACACAAAACAAGAAACCAGAAUGGACAAGGUUGAAAAGUAGUAAACUUUAAGUCAUUUAGUAGCACUUAAGCAGAUGACAACUAUACCUAUUC
RNAcentral lists this long non-coding RNA (683 nucleotides) under Homo sapiens (human). RNAcentral's name for it is "HSALNT0370814". Lineage: Eukaryota; Metazoa; Chordata; Mammalia; Primates; Hominidae. The record is from RNAcentral.